CUCCUAAUUAGUAUCUAAACAUUUGAUGUAACAGGUGCUAAAUAUUCGAUGUGACAUGUGCUAAAAAUAAGCAGGUUGAACCAAACACCCUAUAAGAUAACCGAUAGGAAUUCCAAACAUCCCAAUCAGAUCUUCCCCAACCCCAACCUCAGGCACAAUCUUCCCCACGUCUCGCGUAGCGUAGAACAAGCCAACAACUUACUACUACGUGCUUGGUCGCCAUUUCUUCUCCAAGAGGCCGAAGCUAAUUAAUUAACCAACAGGAACCAAACAUCCCGAUCAAAUCUUUUCCCCAAUAAUAUGUGGGGGACCGGCAGCGGAGUCGAUGGCUGCUUCUGCUUGCGUGUGCAGCCUCGAUUCUGGGGACCCAUCGUGCUGAUGAUGAGUGAGUGAGUGCAUGACUGAUUUUGUGGCUGACGAUCGAGCAAUGAUCCUAGCCGAUGCGUACGUGCACCCACUAAGCACGGAGCGUGCAUCAAAUUAACCAACACACGAUCAAUCGAUUCUCACGGCGCGAUCAAUUCAAAGUUUCAAACUAAUGCAGCAGCGGAACGUGGGAGGACUGGAGGAGGAUGCUCACCUGGAGGCGGCGAGCGGCGAAGUAGCGGAGGUAGAGGAAGUAGGCGGCGGCGAGGCCGAUGGGGAGGCCGACGCAGAAGCCGAGGACGCCGCCGACGAGGCCCAUCGCCGCCGUCCUCCCUGCGAUGAUCGCGAAUGCCGCUGCGCCGCCGUCGCCGCCCACGGCGGCAACCGCAUGGGGAGUCGGGAACCGCCCGUACGCGCGGAGGUUGGUUGCUGGCGGUUGUCGUGUGGCUCGGUGGUUGGGUUGCUCCUCCUCGGAGACGUCGAACCGAGGCGGGGACAACUACUACUAGAACUAGACGCGGCGGAGCGGGGUGGGGGAGGCGGGAAGGGCGAAGCGAGCAAGAGGGCUGAGCUGGCGGUGUUUAUCGGGGGGAGGGGGCGGAGAACGGGAUGCGCGCCGGCGCUUGGCUGAUGGGUUUUAUGGCGAGGCCGGCGCGCCCGUGCCGCGCGGCGCGGAUGGGUGGAAAAGAGAACCAGCCGAAAUCCACGCGCCGCGCCCGAACAAAAGCCUCGCGGCGGCGGCGGCGGCGGGGGCAGGGGCCAGAGCCCAGGGAGCUGAGGGCUCGGCGCACGGGCGCACGGGCGGAUCGCGUGCGUGCUAGUCCGCGACACGGCUUCAGGCUUUGCUCCUGUUCGUUGUCUUGACUGGGGUGGUGUUGGUUUGGUGGUUGGCCGCUUCCACAUUGCCGUCGGCUGACGGCUGACGACGAGACUUGCCAAAGGCGAUGGCUUUUGGGUUGGCCAUUUGCCCGUAAUUCCAAGCUGCCGUUCAGCCCAACUCCUGCACCUGAUCUUGUUUGGAAGUCAGGCCCGAUGUGUACUGAAGCAACGGUUACACCUCCAUAGCUACCCCCCGUGUAAGAGCAGCUCCAGCGUGUAGUUUUAGUUGGUGCUAGCAGGAGAGAGGAUGGGAUGGAGAACUUUUUUUUUAUUUUUAACCCUUUUUUUUCUUUAUUUAUAAAAAUAACCUCAGCGGGGGUUUAUUUGCGCGGCCUAACCCUUUUGGCCGCGCCAGACCGCCUGGCGCGGCAGGAACAUGCUGCCGCGCCACAUGCACUGGCGCGGCAGACCCCUGCCACGCUGGCGUGGCGAGCCGCGGCGUCAGCGCCCGCCUGCCGCGGCGCCAGGCCGGCGCCAGGCGGGCGCUGACGUGGGCGGGCGUUCGCCGCGCCAGCCCGCCUGGCGCGGCAGGGCCAACACUUAGACCGCGCGCCGGCUCCCUUCCUCCUCCCUCCCUCCUUUCUUCCUCCUCCAGACACACCACACAGCAGCACCUUGCAGCGCCGGCCCCCGCCACCCCACCCCCAAAUCCACCAAAAAUCCGGCGUUUUUGGUGGGGGAAAGUAGUGGGAAUCGAUCCCUGCUUCGUGUGGAAGGUAUUCCCCUACUUAUUCUCGUGUUUUACCGUUGCAUUUGGUAGAUCGGAGGAUGUUUAUGUGACUUAGGGUUAGGUUAGUGAUUUGAAAUUUUAAUGAAAUGCAAUGGUAUUUUGUGUUAGAUGAUACGUAGUUCAUACGCAAUUGAGUCUCUGCCCGCGAUAUUGACGUGUAGAACUUGUUGAAUGCUUCGAUUUAGGUAUAUAUUCAUCCAAUUGUGUGGUUUACAUGACAUGUAUUUUUUUUAUAUGUUCAAUUAAUUACUCUCAUUUUUGUUUCAGUGUUUGUAUUUUGUAGAUCGAGUGUUUACAUUUUAUCAAAAUGAUGUAUAGCUAGUAUGGAUUACGUGUGUAAAGUUUAUUUGUGUAUUAAAUUUGUUGCACUUGAUUUCCAGGUGAGAUGGCGUCGUUUGGUUCUGAAUACAAUCAAGGCAUCCAAAGACAGCCGGAAGAGCCUUCUAUGUAUGCAAAUGGACUUUUGAUCCAUUGCCUGCCGCACCUUGCGAUUUCUUUCAGUGGAUCGAUGGACCCGACAAAUAUGAUCCUAGGAUCCGCCUAUUCCCAUAUCAUAGCACAGAGCUUAAACCAUACCAUAAGUUUAGGCGUUGGGUUCCUCCUCCACCAAACCCACCUAGGAUGACCGAUGAGGAGAAGCAGGAGGCUGCUUGUAGGCGUGUGAGGGAUCCUCCCAUGUGCAAGUGUGGUGUUCCUGCUAAGCUUAUGCGUCCUAACUUAGGGGAUCCACCUAAGUUUACUCCAUUCUUUCGAUGCUCCCUAAAGACUCAUGUAAGUAUAUUACGAGAAUAUUAGUAUGUCGUUUAGCUAGCAGUUAUAAUUUUGCAGUAUAUUGUUCAUACUUUAACUUGAUGUUAUUGCUUGGUAGUUGGAGCAGCGUUUUGUAGUUACUUUACAUAUGAGUAGUUCACGUCAUGGGUUUUUUGCAGGAUGGGUGGCCGUUGUGUGAUUUCAAUGAGUAUAUAUACGGCCCAAUGGCAAUGUGGCCAACAGAGGAGGAAGUGCGGGAGUUUGAAAGUGAAAAUGCACCGUGGCCAUGUGUGUCCUCUCCUAGUGAUAGAUGCAAGUGUGGUAUAUUGGCAACAGAAGGUGUGGUGCCUUCUGAACUUGGAUAUGGUUCGUUCUGUGGAAAUGCACAUGGCGAUUACUGGGUUAGUAACUACUCGUCUCUUAUGUUUUAUGAAGGUUGUAACUUGAUUCAAAUUUGUAAGAAUAUUGAAUUGUUGUUGCAGGAGGGAAGGACAUGUGAUUGGGAAGAUUUUUGUGGUCGAUAUGAUUUGUUAUUAAAGUUGGGAAAUACAUCGGAACCAUGGAAGUUAAGGAAACAACAAGAAAUUAAAGAAAAGAUUAGGAAGAAGUAUGAUGUGCCUAUUCCUGACGACGACUUGCUUUGGGGAAAAAUAUAUCAAGAUAUGGUGCAUGAGACUGGAGUGAAACCUAAUGGACUUUAUGCAAGGGAAACUAUUAUUAAGUAUUGGAGGCAAAAUAGAUCCAAGUAUCCACGACCUCUAACUGAAAAUGAGAAGAGAGAAAAUAGGAGGAAGUUGCAGGAGGAGAGGGAGUUGGAGAAACAAAGGUUGAUGGAGGAAAGAGAUCGCUUAGGUUAUGUGGUUGAUCCGAAUGUGAAAUAUCCUGAGGGUUCAUGGGAACAAUAUUUGCAACAAAAAGCGGCAAGAAAAAGAAGGCUUGAAAUGGAAGAGUUACAACAAAAAGCGGAAGAGGCACAGAUGGAGACGAUGAAGGCUCUUGUUGCCGAUUUACCUGUUGGUAAGGUUAAUGUCGAUAAGAAAGGCAAGGGAGUUGUUGUUGCCGGAGAUGUUGAUGAUGAUGAUGAUGACGACGAGUUACUAUAUGAAGGUGACUCGGACUAGAUGAACGUGUUGAUGUAGCUGGAUCAUGUUUCUCUGAAAACUAUGUAGAACAUUAUGUUUAUGUUUAUUCUGGGAACUAUAAUUAGUUGUCAAAAACUAUUUUCAUUUCCGAGAGAACUAUGUUCAGACGCAUCAAAGUUUGCCGUGACAUGACUGGCUUCUUGUGGUUUUGGCGUGCUGUUUUCCUGACCUCCUGUCCACGGAUCACCGUAGUCAAUCUCCAUGCAUCUUCCCGACCCGGAAGGAAUAAGGUAUAGGAAAGAAGGCAAUGCUUUCUUUUUUUUUCAUUUUUGAUCUGUAAAUUGAGUUGUUAAUGAAUCCGCUUUAUUCGCCGACUCUAUUUCAUUCGCUGAAUAUAUAUGAUAUUUCUUUUCUUUGAAACACAAAUUCUAUAACAAGGUUUGAGACCUUUUGUUUGUAUCUAUUUAUCUCUUUGUAUACUAGUGGAAUUUCAUUGUAUUGGGUUCUUUCUUAGAUCUAAAUGGAGUGGAAUAGAGAAAUAAAAAAAAGGCCUUUCAUAUAAAAAUGGAAGAAUAUUAUACCAUAUAUCUCACUUGGAUAAAACAAAUUAGAAGCAAUUUUCUCUUAUUCUCGUUUGUUCCUUCCUUUAGAUAAAUACUCGAAAAUCUACUGAAAUCUACUUUCAGUAGGUUGUGUCGUGCCGCGCUAGGAGGCCUGGCGCGGCAAGGCUGAGCUGUCGCGCCAAACGCAACCUACUUUCAGUAGGUUUCGCCGGGUAGGAGGCCGGCCUUGCCGCGCCAGGCGGCCUGGCGCGGCAGGGCUGAGCUGCCGCGCCAAACGCAACCUACUUUCAGUAGGUUGCGCCGAGGGGGCCGGCCUUGCCGCGCCAGGCGGCCUGGCGCGGCAGGGCUGGGCUGCCGCGGCAAACGCAACCUACUUUCAGUAGGUUUCGCCGGGUAGGAGGCCGGCCUUGCCGCGCCAGGCGGCCUGGCGCGGCAGGGGUGAGCUGCCGCGCCAAAUGCAACCCAAUUUCAGUAGGUUUCGCCGGGGGGUGGUGGCGGCAAGGGUGCGCGGCCGAGCCAAUUUUAGUAAACUUUCAUUAGGUUUCAGCCCAGGGGGGUGGGGCAUCAGGAGCGCGCUGCACAAUCCGAAACGUAUUUUUGUGCUAAACAUUUACGGAAAAAUACACGAAAUACAAGUACAUCAUGGAGCAAACAUAUAACAUUGUACGGACAUAAAAAAACGUAACAACCAACUUAGUCUUUUACAAACGUGACAUGAAUUAACCUAACAUGCUUAGUCUUUUACCAACUUAGUCUUUUACAAAUGUGACAUGAAUAAACGUGACAUGGAAUAAUUGGGCACAUGAUAGGUUCAGUGGCGUGACCGCCGCUCAUCCGGAGGGCUAAAAGGAUCUCUUGGGCGACGCUCCCUCCUUGGAUGCGUGGGCAGCACAUUGGCGCUGCCAACGUCGGUGUGGUCCCGGGAACGACGACGUCGGCGUGGCAACCGGGUAUGAGUUGCAGGUUCCUAUUGAAUAAUUGGACACAAAUCAUAAAAUUUGUAUGACACUUCGGGAGCGAACAUUAAAAUGUAUAAUUGAAACUGGAGGAACUUCUGAAUAUACCUGGCUGGACUCUCCCUGCGUCUGAGUCACAGGUGGAGCAUCGUGAGAAAUCUCGAGUUCCUCACCAUACGUAGGGUCAUCAUCCUCAGACUGCUCACCUUCCGAGUCCUCGCUUUCCUGAGGGGAUGCGGGUUCCUUACCUCGCGAUCUCCUGCUAGGACCUGCCGCAGUGGACGGUGUUGCAGCCCUGGGGGUAGUCACCAAUGCAGUCCGACGUGAUCCUGAAGAAGUACCCUGGACAUUGGCCCCGUCGUGCGCAUCUGAGGAUGUCAUGCAGUUCAUCCUCUGCGCCAUUCGCCUGCAACUUUUACGAACCCUUUGCCAUAUAUUCACGACUAUGUUAUUGAUGGUUACAAAGAUAGUACGAGUAUAAGUGAAAAUUUGUUUGGGCUUCUACCUCUGCAAAAGCACGAAGCAGACUAUCACCUUCCCCAACAGCGUGCUCCAUAAUCACGCCCGCCUCGUUAGAGAGCCUUGCAAGCUGCUGCCCCUGCACGCAGUAGUUUUCAUUCCAUAAGUGAUCAAUGUGACGAUACUAUAAUUACAAACCGAAAGCUUACCAUGUAGUCGUGGAGAGGUGCACGCUCAGGCUGUGUCCCAUGGCGUGUCACGGUGACGUACGCGUCAGCUAUGUCAGCGUCAUCAUCAGACGGUGCAUCCUCAAUGGGCACAUUAGUCCAAGAUGGUUUCACUUUGGUUCUCGUCGAAGUACAGUACCAUCUUAUGUACUCAUUGUUGGGUCGCCAGUACGGUCCACCUUCAGGAUCGCAUCCUUCCUUGUUCUGCCACAUGUGGAUGUACCGGUCAUGCUUCACCCUCCAAUCAUUUUCCUUGUACCGCUUUCUGCGGUCGAUACUGCAUCAGAAAUUAGUGAAGUAUUAGUAUAACACGUUAAUUGCGUUAAUUGAAUACCCUCCAAUAGUUAUUUAUUCCUGCGUACCUGUGCAGCUGCUGCGAAGUCGAUAAUUCCAAAGGAGGGCACGGUUGCAUCCUCCCAAACUGCCGCAUCACCCUAUGCGGCAUAUGAAACUCUACCACGUAGUACAGUAUCAUUGGGGUCAUGCACCUCCACAGCUCUCUGUCUCUGUAGCACGUCGGUGAAAAGACGAUCUCGCUAAGCUGCUGACGGUCAUACGGUUUCCAUUCCACCUUCAAAAAUUUUCACGCAAUACUUAUUUCAUCUACCAUUAUACGCAAGUUAGCUUAAAAAACUAUUAUGGUUACCAAAUUACCUGGUACUGCGUGAGAACAUCAAACUCGUUCGUGUAGGCCCUGUAGUGCCUAUCCGGAUUGCCACGAACGGGCCGCACAUGCUUCCACACGUGAUAGAACGUGGGAAGAGCAUCGUCUCGAUGCCAUGGCUGAAAUUGCAAGUAAGUCCAAUUGGUCACAUGAUACAAUAGUUUUUCGAACAUUAACGUAGAAAAAGGAAUUAGCCGUUGUGACUUACAUCGACACGGAGGCGGGAAGGUCGACCCACGGGCAUUCGCUCCCAAAUCCAUAUCUGGAGCAUAUAAGUGCACCCUCCAACAUUAGAAUCUCUCGCUGUGCGCCGGCAAGCCUCACAUAACUGUCUGUACAGCCAGGCAAGAGCCGCUGAGCCCCAACUGUAAGUGGCUAUGUUUUCCCAAACUUGACCUAGAAUGGGGAGAACCAUCCAUGAUACUGUGUUCCCAGCUGCAUCUGGAAGGAGGAAUGUACUGACAAAGUGCCAUAGCCACACUCGAGCAAAGCGCUGCACGACCUCGUCAUUUGCUCCCGGAGGACACACCUCGAAGUGCUCCCUCAACCAUGCCGAGCUAACACCGGACGUCUUCUUCGAGCUAUCUCCGCCCUCUGGCUCUGGCGGCCUAAUCCCAAUAUGCAUCUCGACCAUAUCACGCCAAUUCUCAUUCUGGAUAAUACCUGUCACUGGCAGCCCAUGCAGUGGAAGGCUGAGUAUCAUAGCCGCAUCCUGCAUUGUGAUGGUCAUUUCUCCGAAGGGCAUGUGGAACGUGUGAGUCUCCGGACGCCACCUGUCGACCAUAGCGGUCAACAGUGGUCCGUCCAUUGGAGGGAGACCCCCCACGACCUGAACAGCGAUAUCCAAGAAACCUGCUCUCUGCAGGUACUGGGCGUACCGCUCAUCCCACCUAAGUGGUGAGUGCACCCUAGCCCUGAGUGGUGUCAAAUUCUGCAAAACAUUAUAAGAUUAUUACCAAAAUGAGAAGUCAAUCCAAUUGUGAAUAACGGGCUUCUAAAGUGGUAAGUAACACAAAUAUGAUACAAAUGACAUUUGCAGUAUGAAAUUGUUUACACUCUACACAAGCGAAUAGUAACAAUAGGCACAUCCUUAAUUAAUUUAUAAGAACAUUUCAUACGAAAAUCUUGCAAUUCUCAUCCUAAGGUAUGCAUUCAUCAGCAAAAAUUAGCAACCAUUGUUAUACCUCAUUCAUGUCCGCGAGGUGGUGGGCACGGUGGUGCAAGUCGUAAGCAGCCUCAAGAAGAGGGUACCCGGGGCCGCCAUCCUAAAGAAACAACAUAAAUGAUCGUUAGUAAAAAGCUUCAUUACAUGAUAAGUACGGAAAAUAUGAUAAUGUACUACUAUAAAAAAGAUAAAAUAAUAGCCACGCAUAAUACAAGCAACGCGCAUACCCAAUUGUUCGAAGUACGCGGCCUAUUACUGCUCGGUCUAGAUUUAGUGCCUUUUGAUUUUCUACUGCGGCAUGUGCAAUUCCUGAUGAUCUUGUGGCACUUGGAGCAACGAUUUUCCGACUUGUCAAUAUCAAAAUCACCAGUAUCAUAAUCUGCAGAAAGCCUCCCUUCCGACACGUCCAUCUCGCCUGUGAAACGCUUCUUCUGCCGCCUUCCUACUUUAUUUCUCAUUAAACUGGGGUUAGGCACGUACCCUACCCCUUCAUAUGCCGGCCAUUGUGACGGAUCUAGGUAAGGUUGAAAGCUUGAUUCCCAAAUUUUGAUGGUGUGCUCCCUAGAGUACAACGGUGACAUGUACAUGGGGCUUUCAAAGUUAAGACCUCUUGCCUUGCAAGCUGUAAUGAAGUGUGAACAUGGAAGGUGCAACAAUUGAGGAACAUUGCAGGUGCACGAAACUUCGUGCAGAUCCACUCUAUAGUGUCGACCUCCAUGACUCUCACCCCCAAUGUUAGUCGUACCGUAACUUCUUAUAGAAUACACCAUCCUUUCUGGCCCGAACGGUUCUGCUAAGUGGUGCACGGAUCUAAGCUCAGCCUCUGAUAAAUAAUUAUCUGCAACUUGCCCAAUUCUAUAGCCUUGAUCUAACAUGUCACGUGCCUUUCCCCAUCGGUUCACAAAGUAGGCGUUGCAUUUUUCGAAUGUGUAUUCAAUAAUUCCAGCGACGGGCCUACUUCGGAUGCCUUUGAAAACUCCGUUGAGUGAUUCCGAGAAGUUCGUGGUCAUAAUACCCCACCGCAUCCCUCCCUCAUCGAAAGCCUGCGCCCAUUUAUCCUUGUCCCCCAUUUCACCCUUCAACCAUUCUUUUGCGUCGUCGUUCAAGUCCUUCACUAAAUCUUCUAACUUCUCACGAAAUUCUCUCUGUAUGAACCGUGCAUAAUAAUUUCAAUUUUCCAAUCACACGAUUGCUCUUCUGCCGACGCGACAUGUUGGCAGCAAAGUGCCUCAUGCACCACCUAUGCACAAGCGGUGGAAAACCAUCAAUGUGGUCCUUUGCACAAAUUAGAAGCCCAUGAUGCCUAUCUGAUAUCAUACACACUAUCCGUGAAGGUCCAAGAACAUUUACUCGAACAAGUUUCAUAAACCAUGACCAACUCUCAUUAUUCUCACUCUCGACCAAGGCAAAAGCAAGAGGCACAAUCUGUUGUUCUGGAUCUACAGCAACUGCCAUCAUUAAUGUACCAUUGUACUUGCCAGUCAAAAAUGUACCGUCCACCAGUAUCACAGGACGGCAAUUUUGAAAUGCCUCACUACAUUGAGGGAAGCACCAAAAUACCCUUUGCAGUAUAUGCUUCAACACUCCAUUGUCAGGAACCAUCAUGCCACAUGAGUCGAUCCACCAUUUAACUCCGGGAUUGUAGUAGGUUAUAGCUGAGAGUACCCUAGGAACCAUGCCGUACGACUCCUUCCAGUCGCCCCAAAGCAGGGCAACAGCGUGUUGCUUCGCCCGCCAAGCCUUCGAAUACUUCACACGGUACCCACUAAAGAUGAAGAUGGACUCCACGAGUGAUGGCACCGAUGUCUCGCUGUCUUUACGGAUAAUGCCUAGGAUACGCCGUCCAAGGUACUUUGCUGUGCACUGUACAUGCUCUCGCUUCGGCUGUGACGACCGACAAGUAUGCGGUUGCACAACAUUUGAAAUUCUCCAUUGUCCGGUGCUUGAUAUUAGCCGAGACCAUACACGCCAAUGGCAUCCUUGCUUGCACAUCACAUUGUAUCUUAAGUUCUUGUCAGAGUGAACUACGCUAAAAGGUCUAUGUAACCUCACCGCGUAGUCAGCCAAGAAAAACUUCAGCUCCUCAAGACUAUUGAACUUCAUCCCCUUCUUAAUCACUGGACUCUCACCAAUGGACGUCCCUUCGGCAUUCACCAUACUAGAUUCACAUAUUGCUUUGUGAACCAUACUUAUGUCCUUAUCAUUGGGAACGGAUGGCAGUUCGACAUCACGUUCUUUUAACAUCCGCAACUCACACUGGGUGUAAGAAAAACAAUCGUCCAUACGACGAAUGCCUUCUACAUCAUGUACGGUUGCGGUGUCAAAUUGCAGUCCAUCCUCUUCAUUUUCUACCCCGACGUUCUCAUAUUCAUGCCCACCACUCUCAAAUAGUGAUUCCUCCUCUACCUCCUCACCUACUACCCCAUCUUCCUCCAAUUCACAAUCUUCGGAACCCAUAGAGACAUUAUCAACAUCUAUAUUUGCUUCAUCCCUCUCAAAAAUGUUAUUGGGAAAAUCAUCAUUGGCAAUAGCCAAGUCAAAAUCACGUUCUGUUUCACCUAACACGUGAUGCAACAUUUCUGACUCCUGGGUACCAUUAUGGUUCACUACCGUCACUUCCUCCCUCAUGACAACAUUUGGGCCAGGCAUACGAACAAUUUCAACUAUAACCUCCAAACAUGCAACAUUAGCUUCGUGCACAACAUCCUUAUAGUGCUUCCAAUUCGCAUCGGAUGCUAACUUCAUGAGAACAUAAUGAGCUCUAGCUUUCCCACAAUCAAAACGACCUCUCAAACUGAUCUCAUCCACUCUACAUCCAUACUUCGUCAUUACACGGUCAACUAAAUCACUAAAACUUGGAGGACCAUCAAAUAUUUCAAUUGACUCAUUCAUAUUCUCUAACUCCCCAUUUUGUUUCACAACACCACCAUGGAAAAAUCGAACUAAACGAUCCAUCUACAAAAUACAAACAUUUCACCAUGUCAUAUACACUACACAUUGCACAUAUUCGACAUAUCAACUACACACAUUACAUAUAUUGGACAAAUUGCAAACAAAAAAUACACAUAUACAUUGCACUAUACGAUUCAAUGAAUAUAUCCUUAAAAAAAAUACACAUAUACAUUGCACUAUACGAUUCAAUGAAUAUAUCCUUAAAUCAAUAAGUUCUACACGUCAAUAUCGCGGGCAGAGACUCAAUUGCGUAUGAACUACGUAUCAUCUAACACAAAACACCAUUGCAUUUCAUUGAAAUUUCAAAUCACUAACCUAACCCUAAGUCACCUAAAUAUCCUCCGAUCUACCAAAUGCAACGGUAAAACACGAGAAUAAGUAGGGGAAUACCUUCCACACGAAGCAGGGAUCGAUUCCCACUACUUUCCCCCACCGAAAACGCUGGAUUUUGGGUGGAUUUGGGGGUGGGGCGGCGGGGGGCGGCGCUGGAGCUUCGGGCUCGGGCGUUUCUGGAGAAGGAAGAAAGGAGGGAGGGAGGAGGAAGGGAGCCGGCGCGCGGUCUAAGUGUUGGCCCUGCCGCGCCAGGUGGGCUGGCGCGGCGAACGCCCGCCCACGUCAGCGCCCGCCUGGCGCCGCGGCUCGCCGUGCCAGCGUGGCAGGGGGCUGCCGCGCCAGUGCAUGUGGCGCGGCAGCAUGUUCCUGCCGCGCCAGGCGGUCUGGCGCGGCCAAAAGGGUUAGGCCGCGCAAAUAAAACCCCGCUGAGGUUAUUUUUAAAAAUAAAGAAAAAAAAGGGUUAAAAAUAAAAAAAAGUUCUGGGAUGGAGGAGCUGCUGUACGCUGGAGUAGAUUUUCACUCUACCUCUUUUUCCGCGUCCAUCUCCUCUGCACAGCUCCUGUGUUGAUGAAAGGAAAAAUAUAGUUUAUAGUUGGUAGGUCCCAUCUUGGAAUUCUAGGAAGCUACUGAACGACAGUUUAAUUAUCCAUACGGUAAUGUCCAUUUCAUGAUUACUGAACGACAGUUUAAUUAGUACGAAACUUGAAGUAUUUAUUUCCUUUCAAAAAAGAGAAAGAAACAAAGAAACUCAAAGCAUUGGCUAUUUGGCUCAUGGUAUACCUCCGCGAUCACACCACAUGCUACUCCCAUGUAGCAACUUAACUUUGAUGCAGGUACUAAAUUUCUGCUUUGAAAUAAGUUUCUUAUGUUUUUCGAUUAUAUAUCUCAUUGUUUCCGUUUUCCAAAUUCAUGCAAGAAAGCGUUAGUGCACCAAGCCACAUGUGCUCAAACAAAUUCACCUUUCCUCGGCACCUCCAUAUAGGCCUCCGUUCCUUCCACUACAGAGGCGACUACCUCAGGUUCGUGGCCCUCCCUCACACAUGCUUUGGGGACCUCUACAUCUCCUUCCCGAGGCCGGGAGUUGGCUGGCGGUUGCACAACUGGAUUGAUGCGCUCCCAAAUCUCUCCAACCUCACCGUCCUCACCGUAUGCAGCAAUGCUCUCCGGGUUUGUGCCUAUCUUCACUCCAUCAGAUUCCAUUUUUGGUUGUGUCAUCCCAAUGCCACCAACUGACAAAGUUUAAUUUCUUGUUACUUUUGCUCUGUAGAUUGUGUCUAUCCUGCAUUCCAGGGAAAGUCUCCAGCCCAAGUUGGCUAACUUGAGCAACCUGCAGAAUUUGAGAGAGCUGCAGCUGCUCAUGUAUGCAAUGGGGACCGUCAUGCUCUCCGACAUUUAUGGAUUCCUCAGGAUCUGCGGCUGUUCUCAGCUGAGGAAGCUCUUUGUUGAGGUCACUACUUGUUACACGCUUGUGAAAUGCAGUACUAGCUAGUAACUCUGUCGUCUUAUUUGUGUUGUGUGCAUAUUCCCUUCUAUGUUUCUGAAUGAUUACAUUUGUGAUUUGUGCUCUCAGCUCCCAAAAUUCAGAAUGGAUUCCUUCAUGGAUGCUGUCAGUGACUUGGCCGAAGAGCCCAUGGAGGGGUUCGAAAACCUUGUGACGGCAAAGAUAACCAACUUCAAGUGGCAGUGCAAUGAGAUUGAGCUGGUGCACUUUUUAUUCAGGAAGGACAGCUCUCUCCAGAAGCUGAUACUAGUUGCUCCCCCGGGGACACAUCCAGAAAGGGAUCAGUCAGGUAAUCCCUUUUUCCGAGACACAAAGCUGCUGCGUAUGGAAAAAGCUCCGUCAAAUGCCCAGGUAACAAUGCUCCGUGCGCAUCUUGGUGCUAAAAUCCAAGCAUUUCAUCGAGAUGUCAAUCUUCUGGCUCUGUGUCUUGAGAUACUGAGUGCGUGUUUGGAUGCAGGGUGCUAAAGUUUAGCAUCCGUCACAUCGGAUGUUUGGAUGCUAAUUAGAAGUAUUAAAUAUAGGCUAAUUACAAAACUAAUUGCACAGAUGGAGUCUAAUUCGCGAGAUGAAUCUAUUAAACCUAAUUAGUCCAUGAUUUGACAAUGUGGUGCUACAGUAACUGUUUGCUAAUGAUGGAUUAAUUAGGCUUAAUAGAUUCGUCUCGCGAAUUAGACUCCAUCUGUGCAAUUAGUUUUGUAAUUAGCUCAUGUUUAAUUCUUCUAAUUAGCAUCCGAAUAUCCGAUAUGACAUUGCUAAAGUUUAGCACGUAGUAUCCAAACACCCCUGGAGUGUUGGACAUAUACUGGGCAAGCUUAAUCGGGAAUGUGUGUGGAAAUAAAUGCUGGGUCUGCAUUAUGUAAUUUCCUCCCUUGGUUGUACUGCAGCAAAGCUAUCCAUUGCACAUAAAUAACAGUUUCAUAUGGCGAUCCCAAUAUCGGCCUCUCUUUUUGUUUCUUAACAUAGAGUAUCUGCUGCUUAACCAUUUUCUUGUGCUAUCAAUGUGUUUGAUAUGUUUGUGAAUCAUCAUAUAUCAGUCUGUUCGCUUUAGCUUAUCAACCGACUUAUCAGCCACCAAAUAGUAUUUUUCUCUCACAACAAAUCAGCCAUUUCAGCUUUCAGCCGGCUUAUAAGUUCAGCCGAACAGGCUCUAUAUUAUUGGGGUGAGCUCUGAGAUAUUAAUGAACAUCAUCAUAUAAACCUGUGUUAAUAAAGGGUUAAUGCAAUAAUAUCAGAUUCAGACUCCCUAAGAACAGAACUUGUUUGGCUUCAACUUUCACCAUAGUGACAGGAACUGACGUUUGUUGCUACAUCGAGUGGAUUACAACGUUCGUUAAUACAUUAGAUGAAUUUGGUACAUUCUAUUGCCAUUUGCCAGGUUGUUUAGGAACGUGCGUAGUACUUGGUAACUUGUGUUGUCUUGCCCUCAGUUUACUUGGUAAUUAGUACCUGGGCUGGGCUGAACUUCAUAUGUGAUUGCCAUGACUGGUCUUUAUUCUUUUGGUUUCUUGACAUAGAGGACGUGUAUGCUUAGACAUUUUUCUGGAGUUAGCAAUACAUUAUUUCAGAUACUAGUGAAAUAUUAUCAUAUUGGUAUGGAGAUGCUAGUGAAAUAUCGCAUCAACUUAUGCAAAUAAAAGCUGUUCAUGUAACAAUAUCAGAUGUAGUGUUCUCAGGAAGACAGGAAUAUAACCAUUUCACUUUGUCGUUGACCAACGUAUCAAGAACUGAAUUUGAAUCUUGCAUUGGUUGACUUUUUUUUGUUUGCAAAUUAUUUGAAUUUUUAGUGUUGCAGUACCAGAUGUUGGUGAUCGUGUCACUUAUGAGCGAGGAUUGCCGCUAUUUUCUCUCAAUCUGAAAACAGCAUAUGAACUUACUUGCAUUCCAGGAAUACAAACAUUGUUUGGUACAGUUACCAUGUUGAGAUGUACAAGCAACAAACCUGGAAAAAUACAUUAGACGAGUUCCCUGGUGUUCAAUUUUCUUUAUCUGAUCAUCCCUUUCAGUAGUACAAGGAAAAAUGCGAUCCUACGUAAGGUGGGAUAUGGGGAAGGGAAUUCCUAGAUAGCGUUAGAUAGCCUUACCCUUACAAAAUUCUGCAAAGAGGCUGGUUCGAACCCCGAAACUCCGGGUCACAAGUUGAGAGUUUUACCACUGCACCAGGUCCACCCUUCUUCUCGCAUCCUCUAACUGGAUAUCAAAUAUUCAGAUACCGUAGCACUUACGAAAGAAUUCUCAUUGACUUUGUUUAUCUGUUACUUAUGUUUCUACCUUACCAAACGGUGAAUUUCUUUAAGGAAUCAGCACUGUCAUGGAUAUCAUCGAUUUUGUUCUGUGUAAUUCAGUGGACUGAAUUCAGUGCCAUAUGAGGCUAUAUUUCUUUCCAUCAUAAUAUGGUUAAUUUUAUACAGCAUCAUGGUCAAAAACUCUUUCAGUGUUGUGAGCAUUAUAUUGUUUCCCUCCUUGUUAAGUAUGAGAUUUAUGCCUCGCCAUUUCAAGAAGCUGGGUGUAGUACAGCGCACUGCUUUGGAAAAUCUAUCUUCAUAUGAGCUUCUGACUAGUAAGGCUGCAGUAUGCCUUUCUCUAAAAGAAAGGCUGCAGUCUGCCUGAUUAAAUGGAAGUGAUUUACGCGCUCAAAGAGGCGGCAACUAGCAAUGGGCAAUGGCGCUCGGAAUCGGAAGGAGGCGGCGGCGCGGGCGCCAGAGCGAAGAGGUGGCGGGUGGACGGUCAGGGGGCAGCGCAAAGAGGCGAUGGUAGGAACGGAGGCGGUUCUGGUGGACCGCAUCUCGGCGCUGCCGGACGACGUGCAACGGCGCAUCUUGACCCGCCUCCCGCUCAAGGACGUCGUCCUCUCAGCGGCGCUCGCGCAGGGGUGGCGCGACCUCUGGAAGAGCCGGUGGGCGGAGCCGACCUCCUGUCACGACAUCCACCUCCUCCCCGGCGACAACUCGAGGAAGGCGCUCGGCUCGCUGGAGAGUGCCCCGCGCCGCCGCCUCGACCGCUUCUCCUUCGUCUCCGACAACGAGAAGCUCAGGCAACCGUACCUCAAGCGCUUCCUCGCGUACGCUGCCGAGUGCCGCGUCGAGGACCUCCACGUCGAGGUGCGUCGGAGCCUGGUCUUCCACCUGCCGCUGUCGAGCCCCCUCCUCGCGCACCUCUCCCUCCGCAACAUCGACAUGUACCACAUGUACUCCAAGGGCGCCCAGCCUUUCUACGCUCUCGAGUCCAUCCACCUCCACUCCGUCAACAUCGGUGUGAAAUUCAGCAAGGUCAUGGCGCUCUGCCACCGCCUCCACACUCUCGAUCUGCGCCGCUGCAACCACAUACUGUAUGGUGCCGAAGCCUGCACCCCACUCGACCUGAGGAGAAUCACCGUCGCGGAGUGCAAUUACGGGGAGGUCAAGCUAGAUGUUGUGCCGGUGCCUAGCCUCUGUUCUUUCCGCUACAGCAGCAGAUUUCUCGGUUCGCUCUUCGUCCUUCCGAAGGACGCCACGCUCACAGACCUUUACAUUUGCUUUUCUGACCAUGAGCCAAUAUUCCAACAAAUAUUGGCUCUCCCGGAUGUUCUGUCUGGCCUCAGUGUACUCACCAUAUCUAGCAAUGCCCUUAAGGUAUGUUCUUUGGAUGGUAACUCAAAAGGUUGAUUUGUUUCAGAAAAGAAAACAUAGUGUCACACCCUGAAAUUUUUGGAUUUGAUUGAAAAGAAUAAUUAAAUAAUAGUUUUUUCAUAAUUUUAAAAUUUUUCCAACAUUUACUUUCUUGAUAGGAAAUUUAGUAUAGAAAAACAGUUGAUUAUUUUCUAAAUUAAAUAAGGUUGUUCUGUGUGUGUUGCAUUCAUGCCAAUACAUUUUGAUAUUUCAUGAGUGCAAAUGUUUUAAAAACGCGUUUAGAUAACGAUUAGGUUCUUCUGAGAAUUUUUCAGAAUUUCUUGGAAUUUAUUCUCAUUUUUCCUAGAGCUAAAUCUUUUUAUUAGAAGGCUCUAAAAUCUUUUCUCAUGAGCUUCAAGUAUUUUAUUUGGGCUCCCCGUUUUCCAAAUCAAUCUCCAGGAAAUUUUUUGAAUUUUUUUCAGAGUAUUUUUCGUGAUUUAAUUAUGAUUUCAGGAUUUUUUUGGAAUUAUUUUUGAAUCUGAAAUUAAUUCCCAAAAUUAGAAAAAAGGAAAUUAAAACCGGACUCCAACCUAGCCUAUAAACACUUUCCGGUUCCAACACCACAAACCCCACCUCGUUUCGACCCCACCUCGUUUCGACGGUGAACAUAUGCAUUUGUUAAACUCCGGCAAUUCUGCGAAAUCGUAAGUCUUCGGCCGAAGGUGAUAUUCGUAUUGUUGUUCUCAUUCCAUUUAGCGCGAGUUUGAACUCUAUCCCCGGCAAUCCCUUUUCUCUCUUUUUCCUGUUCCUGUUCAUCGCCGGCCAUGGCUUUGGCCCUUGUCGCUGCCUCCUGGGCGCCAGCACCCGGCUCGCCGCCUCCUGGCCCUGCUGUACUCGAUCUGUAUCGUCGGUUCCUUCCCUUCCUUUUUUUUACACAUGCGCUCAGGUAGGGAGCCCGGGCAGGUGCCCAGGCUCGUCGAGCCUUGAGUCCGCCCCUACGUUAGUUUGCUCAUAUAUUUAAUUAUGCCACACGCCCCGUAACAAACACGGACGCUGUCGCACAAGGUCGUUUCCUUUCUUUCCUUUUUCUAGCCGCCACCAUAACAAACCCGUCGCCACCAUCGCACAUGCACACGCCCGAGACAAACCCGUCACUUGCUCCGUGCCGCCGUUGCUCGCCCUGCACCUUCGCUGACCUCCUCGCUGGAUAAUUGUUGACCAUCGGUAAGGACGCAUGCAAUCCAUUGGAGGGUGCCUUCGCUGACCUCCUCGCUGGAUAAUUGUCGCACAAGGACCAUCGCUGACCUGAAGCUUUCUCAUCACCUACUCCCUAAUCUCGCUACUAGACCGACGCCAAUCUGUUGUGAAGUUGAAUGCUCGGUCGUGAGCUGCACCGGAAGGUUGGAGGGUGCCGUGCGAGCGCCGGCGUUGCAGCUCAAGUGUGAGUUCUCGUUACCCUUUGUUAAACAUGUUCAUGUAGAUUAGAUCAUGAUUAGGCCUAAUCAGACAUGAUUAUACCCAAGAGGUUCUCCGAUAUGGCAUGUGUUAUGUUAAUUAAUCUGUUAAUCAUGUUCAUUAUGAUUAGAUCAUAAUUAGGUCUAAUUAGACAUGAUGUAGUGGGGAAUUAAGAUUGAACGAUAACUUGACUUCGUAGGCCAUGAUGUAGUGGGGAAUUUUGUUUUUUGAAAUAAUCUUCUUGUAAAAUGCGAAGAGAAAGGCAGUUGUAGUUCUAAUAUAAUUACUACUUCCUGUAAUCGUGUUUCUUUCAAAAAAAUAAUUUAUUGUGGGGAAUUGUCUCCUUGAACCUGUUGCUUUGCUUAUAACUCCUUUUUUAGCAAACUCGUUUUUCCAUUGUCAAUCAGUAUUAGCAGUUGUUUCCAUUGUCAAUCAGUAUUAGCAGUCAACAACUGCAAGUUAUUGUACGAUCCUGGUGAACUUUAAACCACUACAUUCAGCAUCCUAAAUCUCAGCGUCCAUCCAUGUCAGACGGUUCUGAGGUAAGCUAUCCACAAGCUUAACGCUCACUGAAUCAUAUUGAAGAACUGGUACUAAGUAAAUGAGUUUAUAUGUUAUCUCCUUUUUCCACCAAUAGUCAUCCUUGGAGCAGCCAUCCAUGGAGCUGACGCCCAUUAGUGACGAGGGUGGCUAUAGUAUGGAUAUAUUCCUGGAAGUAGAGGAAACUACUCCCAAGACGGAUUACUUGGAUGCCAAUAAAUACCAAGAGGGUUUGACACCUAACAAACCCAAAGAUGUUGAUAUGUCACAACAGGUGUUGAUUCCUAACGAAACCAACGAGUUAGAAGAUGCUUUCACGAUUCUGGAAGGUAGUUUAUGUUUUGUUCAUAUAUCAUGUUGCUCAUUUGAUAUAUUUUCACAACAUUUAUCAGGUGCAAUGAUCUUUAUCCUCAAAUUUUAUGAUUAUUUCAGGUUACGAAUGUACUGUCAAUGAUCAUGCCUUCAUUGAAGCUGCUAAGGCCCUGUUUGUUUCCGCUUAUAAGCGGCUUAUCGGUGGAAAUAAGUGAGAAUCCCGCCAAACGCUUUGCUUAUUUCCACCGAUUCUCGCUUAUGUGGUAAGCCGCUUCAGAAAUUUGAAUUACGAGAAGCGAAAAGCGAGAAACGAGAAAAUCUUUGCUUAGAUUAUAAUCCAAGCGUGGCUAGGAGAAGCGUAUACAAAUAGGGCCUAAAAAGAUCUCAGCUGAACCAGGUAGGGAAGAGCUUGUGCUCAUCGAUGAUGUCCUGGUGAAUAGGAAUCACGUGGAGUGCUUAUUUUGUUGAAAUGCAUACCUGUAUGACGUGAUAAUAACCCCGAGUACAAAUUUAUGGGAACAAAAAUCUUUUUUUAUAUUGAGAUAUUAUUCAUGGUUGAUUUUUUGCAGGUCAUAAAUGCGUAUAUCCACCUAUUGUGGACUCAACAUAAUAUGAUAAAUAGGCUAGGUGGUACGUGCUACCUAGAAAAUAAAAGUAUGACCGUGUUAAUGAAGGGGGAUGGUGAAGAAAAACGGAACAUGGAGGACAUGGAGUAUCCUCCUGUGGGCAUUCACAGGUUCCACGGUUGGCUGAAAGGGUAUUAUCGUACAUGCACCACGAUAUAGUAACUACUAUUUUCAACAUUACGAUAUAUACUUCAAUUAUCCAAUAUACGUUCCUCGACUGACAUUACAUUCUUACCAAUAAAUAUAAAAGAUACACACUGGUAUCUUGUUAUAGUGAAUGCGCGAAGGCGUAAGAUACAUGUGUUAGAUUCUUAUGGAACAUUGUUUGGGCGCAAAGACCUCGAAAAUAAUGUGAUUUUUUGCUAUCUCAGAUAUUUCUAUUUUUUUUGCAAACUGCACAUACUAAUUAACCAAUACAUGUACAAACAGUUGAAUGGAUUGCGGAUGCAGAUGGAAAACACAUUGCAAUGCACUGGCCUUAAAGAUCACGCUUGGCUGGACGUCAAUGUUGACGCCUGGGAUGCUGUGGAGGUCAUGGUUGACAGAAUACAGUUUGAUGGGUAUGUAUGAUAUUGCACACUGAUUUAAAAUACCAAUUCUACAAUCUCAUAUGUAUAUAUCUUACUUUUUUCUAUAUAAUAAUGAUUCUGUAGUGUCUCAUGUGGAUUAUUCAUGGUUGCCUUUAUAAAGUAUUGGACUGGGGACCAUCUGUGCGCUACCAUGGAUCAGGUACUUUAUUUAUAACUUUAACACAAGUAAUUAGUGAAUAUUUUUUACUAGCAUAUUUUCUAAAUUAACUGUGUUACUACUAAUGUACAGGAGAGUAUGGUGAAAUUUAGGACUAAAAUGGCAGCUACGUUACGAUCAACUAUAUUUAAUAAACGGUUAGGUAAACCAUUACUACGUAACGAGUAUGAAAACAUCGGAAGCCCGAGUGACUUUGCAGAAAUAAUAGAACCUUAAACCAAAGAAAAUCGAUACAGAGAUAGACUCAGAUAAGCAAGAUGUUCUUCUAUACUACAAGGACUGGCCCUUGAUGAGAGAUGAGUGAGCUGAGAUUUUUUAUGAUUAUAUUUUGACAAUCAAGGAUCCUGCGGAAUUGGAGUAAGCUCAGUACUUCAUCACUUUCGUUUACCAACUAAUAGUAUUGCAAUUUAUUAUGAUUUCUUAUGCAUUGUCCCUAUAUAUUGAUUUGAAGUAUGUUUUGGGUAAGAAGUGAUUUGCCCUAUAAGAGUGUGUAUAAAUUCGGUGAUCUCAAGGUGUUGUUGAAAUGAGGUUCGCCCAUGCCUGAACCAUUUUUCAACUUAGGUGUCUAAUUUCUUGCAUACCGAGAGGUUAAAGGGAUGAUAAGGUACAACAACAAGGUUGCAAAGCAUCACGUGGAUUUGCGAUUCUGUGUAAGUUAGCUUGUUUAUAAUAUACUAUGGAAUAUACUGCAUUCAUUGUCUAUCUAUAUUUAUUAAUUAUACAUAAAAUUGAUAAGUGGUACUGAUCAUGGCUAUAUAUCAUUCUGCUUCAGAAAAUAUUGGAGUUAACACGUCAUGAAAAAUAUCGUAAACAUCACAGUGGUAAAGAGUUGGGUAAUGUGAUCGGUGGAUGGGAAAUAAUAAAAUAUGACAUAAUAGGUUGCAGAUAUGUAAGUUCUUUUCAUGCGUUAUUUGUUCAUGACAUAUCCUUUGUGGUGCUGAUACUGAGUGCUUUGCAGUUUCUCUUGCCAUGGAAGCAUGUCAAUACCUACAUGCUUUAUGUACUCGACAUUAAACGGAAGAAACUUAUUGUGAUUGACACGAAACCCAUGCCAAAAUAUGCCAUGGAUGUGCCAUAUAAACAUUAUGCAAUACAGAUUAUAGGGUUUCACCUAAAAUUUUAUGAACGCAUUUAGACAGCUUAAACCUUAUUCAUGGGAGGAUGUUCACAAAUGGGAAUUUGAACGUGCGAAAGGGAUUGUGGAAGACACUGAUGAGCUCUGACACACCAGCAUUUUAGAGUGUCAAUAUCCUUUAUUUCUUAAAAUAUAUGUUUCUAUAUUUAUAUAGCUGACGAUUCAUUGUACCACUGAUUUUCAUAUGGAUGGCUUAUUCUACAGUACAUGGUAUAGUGGGAUAGUCCUCAAAACGUGCACAUCGAAAAAGUGAGUAAAUAUGCUUUGUCGUACGUUCCUUUGUGAUUUUACAAUAUACGAUAAAUCCCAUCACACGAGAGCUUAACUUGAAGUAAUCACUUAUCUUACGUACAUGAUGCUAUAACGAUGCGGCAUAACUUCUUCAUCGAUCUUCUGGCGCACGAAGCGAAUGCCUGGAGGACAAGACUACCAUGCAUUAUAAAACAUUUCCUUUGGCGCAUCAUAGGCAAAGAAAUAGGAUAGAUGGGGGUGGUAUUUGGAUGACUUGUAUUCGUACUUGUUCCACACGAUUAUUAUCCUGCUGAAUCCAAUCUUGGAUGAUAUAUUUAUUUCAUAUUUAUACAUGUUUUAUAUUUUUAUUAUCCCGUUGAAUCCAAUAUUUUGCAAUAUAAAAAUUUUGUUGCCCGUAGCAACGCACGGGCACGAUCCUAGUGUUUUAAAAACACGUUUAGAUAACGAUAAGAUUCUUCCGAAAAUUUUCAGAACUUUUUGGAAUUUAUUCUCAUUUUUUCUAGAGCUAAAUCUUUUUAUUAGAAGGCUCUAAAAUCUUUUCUCAUGAGCUCCAAGUAUUUUAUUUAGGCUCCACGUUUUCCAAAUCAUCUCCAGGAAUUUUUCUGAAUUUUUCAGAAUAUUUUUCGUGAUUUAAUUAUGAUUUUAGAAUUUUUCGGAAUUAUGUUCGAAUCCGAGAUUAAUUCCCAAAAUUAGAAAAAAUGAAAAUAAAACCGAACUCCAACCCGGCCUAUAAACACUUUUCGGUUCCAACACCGCAAACCCUACCUCGUCUCGACGCCAAACAUACGCAUCUGUUAAACUUCGGUAAUUCUGCGAAAUCGUAAGUCUUCGGCCGAAGGUGAUAUUCGUAUCGUCGUUCUCGUUCCAUUCAGCGCGAGUCUGAACUCUGUCCCCGGCGAUCCCUUUUUCUCUCUUUUUCCUGUUCCUGUUCACCACUGGCAAUGGCUUUGGCCCUGUGUCGCCGCCUCCUAGCCGCCAACGCCCGGCUCACCGCCUCCUGGCCCCGAGCCACGCCGUGCCCUCCACCCGCCGUGGCUCGGCCCCCUGCGCGCCGCCACUGCCGAGCGCCACCCCUCCGUGCCUCCUGCGCCGCGCGCCGCCCCCGCCGAGAAGCCUCGCCACCGCCUGGCACUGUCGCCCUGCCCCGGCCACCUCCUCCUACCGUCGCCCCCUGGCCCGGCCGCCGCCGCCUAUCACCCCUUCCCCCGGUCCCGGCCGCCGCCGCCGGCAAGAGUCCGACCGCCGGCCACACAAGCAGAUCGAACCGAGGUUGAAGAAGUUAAGGCCAACUUUGCAUUUUGGCCCUCGCGAAACUCUGUAAUUCUUACAGGUUUCCUUGUGUGUUGCGGCUCUUGCAUAAAAACCUCUGGAAACCUUAGAUUCUUCGCAACCUAGUCCAACCUGAGCCUCUUUUUCAGAUCUAACCCUGAGGUCCCAUCUAUUCUCCGUGACUGUUGACUGUGUCUCGGGAAUCUUUAUUGCUAGCCCCUGUUAUCUACGGUUAAUCACGAUUAGGUCCUUAGAGCCUUGUUUAAUCCACAGAUUUCACGUUUUAGCUCCGUUUAACCUCGUUCUUGUUGUGUUAGAUUCAUAUCAACUUAAAUUAUGCAUUAAAAACAAUGUUGAUCAUGUUCUCUGUUUUGUAAUUCAUUCAAAAUAUUAAUAUGAUUAAGUAAUUAUAUACUUGCUUUUCUAAUUAAAAUCUAAUUAGAGUUCAACCCUGCAUUGUCAUAACUAAUGUAAAUUAGUUAAUAUUAUUUAAAUAAUUCUUCCAAUUAAAAGCUAAUUAGGUUUAUACAUCGGUUAUCUUUAAGCAAAUGUUAAUAUGAUUAAUAUCAACGUGAAUGUGUUUCUAAUUGUAACUUGACUAGUUCAACACGACAUAUAAAGUUAUCGGUUAGAUUAGAUGUUAUUAAUUUUCCAAGGUUAAAUGUUUAAAUGGCAUAAUUUAUACAUCAAUAUUUAUAAAUAAAAUUUGACUAAGUUUUACAUCAUCUUUUCUAUGUAAAUAUAACUUGAUUAAUUCCAACUAAGGAUAUUUCUCUAAAAAUAUCUUUACAUUAUUUUUAUCAACUAAAAUAAAUGAAGAAUGGAGCCCUUGUAUUUUAUUUUAUAAUCCAAACCUCUCGAUAGUUGUACCUUUUCAACCUUAGUUCCUUGCGUUCGCGUGAUCCUAGAAUCGAGCCCUAUCCUUUAGUAUGUUCUUUUAAAGCUUUUUCUUUGAUUGGUGUAUUAUUCUUAGUUGUGCUUGUUUGUUUGCUUGUAUGUUUGUGCCGAUAAUUGCUUCGAGUAGAAGAAUUGUUAUUCGAAAGUUUUGAAGAUUAAGAGUUUCAAGAAGAGCUGAAGAGCAGUAAGAGCAACUUUUUAUUGGAGAAAGGCAAGUGUCCCUAACCAUCCUUCUAUCUAUGCUUAUUUUACAAGAAUACCAUGUAUUAAAUUGGAACAUGGAGCAACCACCUAGGAAAACAGUACAACCAUAAGACCAACAGACUCUGAUCUUGGCUAAUUAAUUAGAGACUCUAGUUUGUGAUAGUCCUACCGAAAGGGCAAGAGGAGCUCAUAGGUUGUGCGAUGGCUUGUCCAAUCAAGGGGUGUACGUUCCACUUGGGGGAGGGUUCAUACCCUUAUAAGGAAACCUUAGUGGGUUAUCACUUAUUAGUAAAUUUUUGUAAAAGCCUCGUAGCGUCCCUAUACAGUCGCACCUUGGUAGUGUGAUAAGUGCCUACUUUUGCACAGGAUGGUUGGGUCCAAAGUUCUUCUGAACUUUUACGCGACUUGUGAUGAAAGUGUACAACCUCUGUAGAGUGUAAAACUGAUAUAUCAGCGUGCUCACGGUCAAGAGCGAACUGGACCCUCACAUGAUUAAUAAACUUGAAGAUGGACUUAAAUCGUUAUUCUGGUUAUUUCUUGUGGCCUUGCUAUGUACCAACCAUAAGUGUACUCACCCUUGCUUACUACUGCUUAGAAGAAGUUGUGUGAAGUUUUCUGAAGAUGAUGCUGAGUCCUAGACGUACGCAGCCUCCAGUCGAUUGCCUGUGAAGUUUGGAGCCUCCGUUUCCAGGAUUAAUUAAGCUGUAUAUCUCUGAUAGACUCGUAAGUCAGUAUUUAUAUUCCUUUACGUCAUAUUGUUACUGUUAUUCACUGCUGAUGUCACUAUAUGUAUGAAACUAGAUCCUGGGUAGUAUUUGAUUUUAUUUUAAAACCAAGUGUGACACAUAGUUUGUUUACUAAUCAAUUAACCAUGCCCUUUAGAUCUUCUAUGGUAGAGCAACUCCCCAAUGGGCCAAUAAGAUGAGCAUCUUGCAGAGUUUGAGAGAGCUACAGCUGCUCAUGCUUGGAAUGGAGAUGGACAACCUAGCUAACAUUUACCAAUUCCUCAAGGCUUGCCGCUGUUCUAAUCUUGAGAGGCUCUUUAUUGUGCAGGUUAGCAUUUUUUACACCUUUCUGAAUCACUUCGCUUAGUAGCCUCUCUUGUCAUUUUAUUGAAUCUGCAUCUGCAUUCUUAUUUGUUGAGAUGCUUCUGCAUGAUUGCGGUUAAUCUUUGCAGCUCCCGGCUACCAGUGAUGUGCCCUUGGAGGAUUUAGUUGAAGAGGUGAGGGUAGAACUACCAGAGGAUGGCUUAGUCAACCUUAGAAUGGUAAAGGUCAUGAACUUCAAUUGGCGCCGCUUUGAGGUGCAGCUAGUGAGUCUUUUGUUGAGGAAGGCUACCUCCCUACAUAAAAUGCUGCUAGUAUCUCCCAACGUUGACCCGCUGCAUGUGCCUGGUGUACAAGAAGCUGACCUUUCUCUUCUCAAAGAAGCCUUGGCCCGUGGACGCAUUAUUGUCAGCGAGUCUGACGAUCCAGCAACUCAACCAUUUCAUUCGGAGGUCUUUAUCGAUGUUUAACUUUUUGUGCCGAUCGAUUUGUGAUCCUAUAGAUCAUAAGAUCCGAGCUGUAUAUGUUUGUCUGUAGUUUAUUGACAAUGUAUGAAGGAAUGGCAAUAUCUCUGCAACUUCUUUUCUUCAAUUUUACUGUUCGUCAAGUAAUCUAAAUGCAUGGUAUUCCAGCGUACGCUUACCACUUUCAUUUGACGAUUCAAUAUGAGGGUGAAUUCUAUGUAGCUAUAUAUAAGGAACAGUGACAUGAUGCCAGAUUUUGCCAGUUGCCUUCUUUUUGGUUUGCUAGAAUCAGAUCAGAUUCACUACUUCCGCCUGGACAUCGGGGAGGUAGUACUUUGUUAUUUUAUAUGUAGUGCAGUGCUCAUAUUUGUAUUUCUAGAUCGAGAAUUCAGUCAGCCGUAUUUCUAGACGUAGAGUUGACAUAGUUCCUUUAUAUCUAUUUUAUUUUGUGAGGGGUAGUCCUUGUUGAGUAACAAAAUAUGGUUGCACUAUACUACUAUGAAUACAUCGUACCGGUAUACCCUGUAGUUUUUUAGCAAAAACAGCACUGGAAACCCCACUGUGGAGCUGAGGUACCUGGUAGAGAUGGACAUCAAUGCACCAUUCAUCAUUUCAAGUAUUGCAAAAUUGAAUUGUCAAGUCAUAAGCACUGACAGAAAAGGUCAUAAAUCUAUCAAAAUUGUGAUGAUACACUUUACAAACAGGGUUUCAGUGCUUGCAACAAACUUUUGCAGUGAGCGAGAAAAUCAUACAGGUUCCAGUCUACAGAAACUCUAGAUCUGACUCUUGGUGUUCCAGGAUGAUUGUCGCCAGCGAUCGUCGGUACGCUGCUGAUCUUGCAUUCCUGACAAGGACACAGAUCUCUCUGCUUUGCAAGUUUUUAUGCGCCCAUUGCUGUCGCCUCAGCACUGCAAGAAGCUUCGCCUCGCAGAAUGCAACCGCAACAGCAUCUUGCCCAUUACUGCAAUAAUAAGUGAAUUUUAGCACAGUUUGGAGCUGCUAUACAUUACGGUAACAGAAUGAAUCAAUGGGAAGGGAGAUCGUGUUACCUUCCAUGGACGAAACCAGUAGUGACAAAGCCUAUUGGCCACCUGAAUGCAUCCCGUGCGGCAUCAUCUUUGGGCAAUUGAAGGUUGCCAGUGCUAGAGUCGAACCAAGAGAAAUAGGAACUAACAUGGGACUGAGGGAGCUGGAGUUCCCAUUUUUCUACACAUUCUUCCUCUUCUUCCUCUGAUCUAUUCCAUGCACGAAAUGAGAUUAGUUUCUCCAACAAUUUUUAUUUUUUAUUUCUUAUUACCACCUAAGAAAGAAUACUGCAAGACAAGAUUAGAGAAGAUGUAUUUAACAAACACUCAAAUCAUCCAUGUUGUGUUAAAAUGCCAAAGUAUCCUGAAGAUCGCUAAAAGAUUUCAGUUACAUGUGAAGUUGUGAACUAAAAAUGCAUUUACAUUCCAAAAAGGACCAAUACACUCGUGACAUCAGCAAAGAAAUGAUCUUAACAGAGCUCUGACAAGAUAUAUUGAAAGGACACAUGGGAUACUGACCUGAUUUUCCAAGCUGGAAGAUCUGAAGGUAAUGGGGCACAAACAACAGCACCCUCUUCAAAAGAACCUUCCUUGAAAGCUCGGAUCAGAACUCUUGUAAGGCAUACCGAACAUGUCAUUUUGAUGGUGUCAUCAGAAGUUAAGUAAGGUUUGUCAGCAUCUGUUUCCAUGCCAGAUGACAAACUCAGAUAUUUCCUAUCAAAUUCUUUCACAUAUUGUCUCAACAUUUGGAUGGUUCUUGGCACAUGAAGUUGCAAGGAUGCAAUGUUUGCUUGUGAUGGUUCUACAUCUCCAGAUUUGGAAUUUACGGACAAACUUUUGGGUAAUACAAUAUUAGCCCGCACUAAGUCAUCUACUUCAAGACCACUCAAUAUGCCAUCAUCUUUAUGAAAACAAGCCAUGAUACAGUGCCAUAAAGGUGGCAUAGGAACUGUUGGAGGUCUCUUGGCAGCAGGGCGGCACUCAACUGCUUUAUCAAAAACAGCAGCUUCUUUGGACAUAUAUGAUGCAUAUGCUUUGCUGUCUGGAUAAUCAUAGGGAAAGCAUGGCAUCCUGAACUGCAUAAAAGAUAUGUCAGUACAUUAGUAGCAUUAAAGAUAAUAUAAAAAAUAAUGCUGCUACACCAACGUCCGCUCCUUGAAGAACAAAUUUCACUAUCUUACUGCCUCUGUUCAACAAAAGGUAAGGCAUCACCUUGUUCCCGUUGUAUUUCAUAACUUUGUCGCUUAAGUUCAACAAAAGCGAUUAUAGUCUGACAAAUUUGAGGCUUCAUCAAUAUUUUACCAUGCCGCUAAUUCAAGAAAAGCAGCGACAAUUGGAAGCGUGGUAGAGCGUCUCAUAAUUAGCCCAUUCUAUAACACAUACAAUACCUUUGUUGCGAUCCACCGUCUCUCUCUUAGGCCAAUUACGUGUGCACCAUGAGAUACUAGAAAAAGCCAGAAAGGUUUCACCCAACUCAAAGGUAAAAUGAUAGACCACCUGUAUAUUCAUUGAACGUGGACAAUAAGACAAUCUCGUUAACAGGACGACAGGACAAAAGAAUAUAAAUCACAAAUUCACCAUUUUAGAAAGAUUAGUGCACCAACUCACUAGACAAACCACAACAGCACAUUAUUAAGAACGCAAGACAGACAAGUCAUGAUAUUUUCAACCAAUCUAAAUAAAAGCCCCCAUAAACAAUGAUGAUAAUAGAUCUUGAAUCAUAUUUCUUAUAAGAAGCAAAUCCGCCAAUAACUUAAAUCUGAAACAACCAUGAGAUAGAUUCAGGUGUAACUAUAAGAGGGCAAACUCAUAAUCAGGCCACAAACUUGAUGCAACCAUGCAAAUGCCCCUUUACUUUAUCAUGGAACAAUAUUAAAGCUACCAUAGAAGUCAACGAUUUAUUCACAUGCUAUUGCAAGCAGGACACCUGAUGUGACAUCUUCGAGGAUGAAAGAUAGAUCUUACCCUAGAGAGGGCAUACCCUUUUUGGCAUGUUUCAGGAGAACAACUGGGCAGGAUCGACUGAAGCUAUCCUUCUCUUGUGUUGUUUGUCCUUGAUCAUUUCCAGAAUCCAGGCAGAAAAAUUUUAUGCGCUCAUGUUGCUUCUCCAUACAAAGAACCUCCUCUGCCACAGGAGGAUUUAUGCUUUGGCUGGAGUCCCACAGUUCUCUACAGUCAGAAAGGAAUAUAUCAUGCUUUCCAGGUUGCAUCCACAUCGAUGACAACAUAUUUCCAACCUCUGAUGGCGCCUCAUCAGCAUUUGGAACUACAUCUUCCUCCAAGCCUUCGUUCUCCUUGUCAAGUGAGACUAAUUUAGAAGAAACUGUUCCCUGGACUGACACUUCCCUGGGGUCAUGAACUAUCAUGGAUAGGAUAGCACCAGGCUGAAGAAUCUCAGCAUGAUCAAUAAUGGAUGCUUCCAAAAGAUGAGGGACAGUAGAGGAAUCCGGGGGAGUAUCAGUUGAUGUGGACUUAUGACUUGUAUCUGGUACCAUGUUAAUUUUGCUUGCUCUGCAUUUGUUAAAAAACAUAAAUAGCAAGCCUUGACAUCAUUUUCCCCCAGUGAUAAAAGGCACUUACUUGAUUGGAUGCAACAUCUUUUUAAGAGAUUGCAUAGCCUUGCAUCCCAUGACUUCCAGCCUUCCAAUUUUUCCCUCUAAUGAGCAACAUUUGAUCACACUACCAGAAUCUUGAAUCUGCAGUGUAAGGCAAGCAAAGUAAGAAUGGUAUUACAACAAGGAAGAAAUGUAUUAGCAGCAGUAAGGAUUACAUAUCACAAGACAAAUUAUGCUACCAAUUAAUAUCUUAAUUUCCCCUUUCAGAUCAUAAAAGCAGCAAUUUUCAAAACGCCUAGAUAUUGAGCAGGUGGAUGUUCCUUAUUAUUAUUAGGACAUAAAAGAUGGUAAACACUACCACAGCAACCAUGGAAAACAAAAUAACUAGUAUUUUCUGAUCCAAGGACAGCACUCAACUAAUGUGUAUGUUCAGAAAGGCAAGCAAUAAAAAGAAAAGGGAACAAGGUUUUCUUUCGUUGUUCCUCCUAAACAUGAAUGAUGAUGCAUCCUAGUGUUCUCUUUGAGUAGAACACACUUAAUCUGAAUAGGAGGUACAAAUACAAUUUUACUUGGAUUCGUAUAAUAAAUAAGAUAGAGGAAGUACCUGUUUCUCACAUGCAAAUCUUAUUGCGCUAAGCCCUUCGUCAAGUGCAACAGGAUGGAUCCAUAUCCACAAUUGGCGUCGCAAGGAACUUCUGCUUUUUUCAUCAAAGCUGUGAGCAGUGGACAGAUCUCCUUCAGUCUCUGAUUUGUCAUUUUCUCUUGAGAAUGGGCGCCACAUGUAUGUUACUGGUCCAAUAAUUUGAGAACGAGGACUCCCAACACCACAAAGCUGGAAAGAAGAAUUAAGUCAUGGUUGUCACUCCAAACACUUCCAACCAUACUGUCUGCGGUGAACAUGUAAAUACCAUAGCAUUCUCAUAGCAAACACCUCGCAUAACUUGAUCUUGUAGAUGCUUCAACUCAGGUGUUUUGUCUACAGGAGAAGGGUGCAGAACCAUUCUGAGAAUGGAUAACAGGGAGUCCUGGAAAAGUGAGCCAGCACACCCAAUAAGAUUGUUGAAUUAUUAGAAGAUGAAAAACACUGAUAAUGGCUAGCUGGAAUGGGGAAGAAUUUUAUAAGCAAUCAAGGGACAAAGGACGGGAACAGAACCUCAGGACCAUCAAGCUCAACUGGAAUGAAGUAGCUAGCAUCAUGGACAAUCGUGCCAUUCUUCAGCCGCUUGAGAACACUCCUUGAACCCCUCCCUCUGCACAAUGGCAUGUUCAACCAUGUUACUCAUUUGAAUUCACAUAUAUGUCAAUCCUCGGGCAAAAAAGUUUAAAUUACACCAACAUCUCUACAUAUGACACUGUACAAAUCAGAAAGGUGAAACUACUUAUAAAGGAUUUCUCCUCUCCAAUUAACAAAUGCAGCACCGGAAGGUACCAGAUGGGUCAUCUCACAAUAUACUUGCGUUUCCGACUGGUCAAGUUUCGUCUCUGAAACACCGAAAUGGUCCCACAGCCUCUACUAUAUUUGUCAAUUAUCACUAAAUAUAUGUAGCAGUCUAGGAUUUUCACCAUUAAAUUACUAUUUGUUUUAGCUUUUCUAGAUACAUAGCUUUUGAUGUGUAUAUAGAAAAGUCAAAAAGAAUAGUAAUUUGGGUGCAUCAAAAGCUAUGUAUAUAGAAAAGCCAAAAUGAAUAAUAAUUUGGGACGAAGGGAGUAUUUCAGAAAUGACCCACUUGCAACGUGCAGUAGAAUUUAGCGAGCAAACAACUCAAAUACUGGUUCUGAGAUUCUAGCGCACUGAACAAAAAUCCUCCCUUUCCCCUCACAACACAUCGCCAUUGCUCACCUCCCCUGGGCGCCGACGGGCAAGACAAAUCCCCACCGCCUCUCCAUGGCAAACCUCUUGGCGUGCCACAGGUGCGUGCGCAGCCGCCGCGCGCCGUCGCCGGCGACGGAGAACCCCUCCGCGGGGUUGCCUGCGAGCUCCCGCCGCCGCCUCACCCUCCUCGAUUGUUUCCGUGGCGCGGAGCUCCCCUCCCCCGCGGGACCCACCUCUCCGGUCCCGGCUGCGUCGGCUCCGCUCCAGCGGCGGCGGCGCUUGCUGGGGAGGUGCCCCGUGGUGCGGCGGCGCUCGGAGCGUGGCUGCUUCCGGGAGCGGCCGCCGCCAUCGUCGAGGCGGGAUGAGAUUGCGGCGUGGAGGGAGCGGAGCUCUCCGGCGCGAGCCGAGGCGAAGCGCCGCACCUCGAGCUGCCGCGGCGGCGGCGGGACGCCGGCCAUUGGGCGGGAGGGUUUGCGAGGGCUUAGUGGUGCUCUUUUGCGGUUAGACCUCUAACAUAUUCAUGUACAGUACCUCGUUGUAUUCGGCCUGCAACGAAAGCCCGAUAGAUGGGCCGAAUACUGGGCCUUGCAGCACCGUCCAUAGGCCCACCUCCCUGAAUGGCCUACUUCAAUAGCCCAGCUCUUUUCCUUCGGCUUUUUUUUUUAGAGCAAAUCUCUUUUCCUUUAGCUGCGCGGCGGAUCGGCGGGUCAGCCAGCUUUCAGCCCCCAGAAGCUGAAAGCCCAAAAAAACAGCUAGUUUUUUAUGGGCCAGAAGCUAUGGAAAGCUACGUUUCAAUGGAAAGCUAGAAAGGAGGAAAAAAUGAGCUUUCGUGAGCUUUCGGACCUAAAUUACCCGCCUGCUAUCGGUAAAGGGCCCGAAGCGUUACGUUUCUCUUUUUUUCCCGUCCGACUCCUUCUCCCCCGAACUAUAGAUUUCCAUGCAGCCCGCAGCCCAAGAGCCCGGCACGGAGCACGUUUUUUUACCCCGUACCUAACCCGGCCCGGCCCGUAAUUUUUCGGACUCGGGCUGGCCCGGCCCGCAGCAUCGUGCCGGGCGUGGGCCGUAUCCUCGGCCCGACGGGCGGCACGGCCCGGCACGAAAAAGAUUACCGGCCCGUUGCCGGCCCGUCAAACAGCAGCGGCCCAGCAGGCCGGCGGCCCAGCAACGGUCGGAAGGGGGGGCGUAUAUAAGCCGUCGCGGCCGGCGACGCCCCCCCUUCGCAAACCCUAACCCCAUUUCCCCUCCGCCCGCCGCCUCCUCGCCUCCUCGUCUCCUCCGCUCCGCGCCUGCGCUCGCGCUCCAGCCUCCAGGCUCCUCGCGACCUCGCCUCCUCAGCUCCUCCUGUCCCGGCGAGUCGGCGACGGCCGACGGCGACUGGCGCGCCACCUCCUCGCCUCGACUCCUCCCGUCCUCCGCUCCCGCCUCCCGGCUCCCGGCUCACCUCCUGACCGCCUGGCGCCUGCCUGCCUCCCUGGUGCCUUCUGCCUUGCCGGCUUGCCACCGGCACCGGCGCAUCGCCUCCUCGCCUCGACUCCUCCGUCCCGCCUCCCUGGAUCUGGAUCUACAUCGAGAUCCUCCUGAUCCUUAGAUCUAGAUCCUCCGGAUCCUUAGAUCUAGAUCCUCCUGAUCCUCUUCUUGUUCUCCUGAUCUUGUUCCUGUCGUCCUCUCUAGCCCGGGCUGAGCCGCUGAGGCGUCGCAGGUAGAUCCCCCUCCCCCUGAUCCAUUUCUUGUUCUCCUGAUGUAGAUCCUCCUGAUCGUGUUCUUGUUGUCCUGAUCCUCUUCUUGCAGGUUACUGUCUUCUUCUCCUGCUCCGGGCUCCGGCGUCGCAGGUAUCCGUCGCCCCGUCGGGUGCCGCGCGCCAUUGAGUGACGGAGCGGUUGAGGCCUGAGACAGUGAGACCUGAGGGACGCCCCGGCCCCCGGCUGCCGCUUGCCCCAGGAGGUCGUCGUGAUGGACGAGAACUACACCAUCAACGACGACCUAAGGGCAUGUGGCCUGCCAGGUAAUAUCUUGCUGAUCCUCUUCUUGUUCUUGUUCUCCUGAUCAUCUUCUUGUUCCUGUCUUCCUGAUCCUCUUCUUGUUCCUGUCUUCCUGUUCCUCUUCUUGUUCUGUUCUACCAGGCGACGAUGAGGACGACGUGGCUGCCGGAGCCGUGCCACUCGUCGGUAGCUCUGCUGCUCCCGUCAAUGUGGAUGCUGCCGGUGACGGAGGUACCAUUCCACCUUCUACCCCAUCUUCUACCCCAACUACAUCAACGAGCACCAGUGUCCGCAAGGGGAAGCGGCGGUCUGCUGCCUGGAAUGACUUUGAGGAGUUGUUCCAGGAAGGCGCCAACGGGAAGAAGGUAAGGUACGCUGCCAAGUGCCGUCAUUGUUCUCACAUUCUUACUGGCCGGUCUUGUGCUGGUACUGGCCAUUUGCUCCGGCACCAGAAGAUGUGCUUGGCUAAACAAAACCAUUCUUCUCUUGUUCAGUCUCACCUGCAAUUCCAUUCUGAUGGCUCAAUUAUUAAUUGGGAAUACAAGCCCGAUCUUGCUCGCAAAGAAUUGUGCCGGUUGAUUGCUAGACUUGAUCUUCCCCUAGGCUUUGGUGAGACAGAGGCAUUUGUGGAGUACAUCCAGCGUGCUCAUAACCCUCGUUUUGCUAAAGUUUCUAGACAGACCACUUCUAGAGAUCUUGCCAAGUUCUUUGCCGAGCGUCGUCUUUCUCUUGUUGAUACUUUGAAGUCUCAUGUUUCUUCUGUUUGUCUUACUUCUGAUAUUUGGUCAGGGAAUGCCAAGGAGGACUACCUUAGUGUUGUUGCACAUUUUGUUUCUGCUGAUUGGGAAUUAGAGAAGAGAGUCAUUGCUCUUAGGUUGAUUGAUUGCUCCCAUUCUGGUGUUAACAUUGCUGAGCGUAUUGAACAAGUUGUUUCUGAGUUUGGUUUACAGGAUAAAAUUUUCUCUAUCACACUUGACAAUGCUUCUGCUAAUACUUCUGCCAUGUCCACACUUAUUCCCAAAUUUGUUGGUUAUCUAGGUCCAGAUCAUGAACCUCUUGAUUCUGAUUCUGAUUCUGAUAAAGCACUUGUUGGUCUUUUGCAUCAACGUUGUGCAUGUCAUAUUAUCAAUCUCAUAGUCAAGUCUGGUUUGAAGAGGAUCAAGGCUUAUCUUGAGGCUUUUAGGACUGCAAUCUCUUUUUUGAACUCUUCUAAUCAACGCAUGGCAGCUUUCCAUAACUUCUGCAUUCUCAAGGGGGUACGCCCUCGUAAGUUUGGUUUAAAUAUGGAUGUGAGAUGGAAUUCUACAUAUCUCAUGCUCAAACAUCUACUACCAUAUAAGAAUGUCUUUUCUGUCUUUAUUUCUGCUCAUUAUGUGCACAAUGGCCAGCCACUUCUGACUGAAAACCAUUGGGUAAUUGCUGAGAAAAUUUUGCUGUUCCUUGAAAUGUUUUAUGAUUCCACUGUUGCUUUAUCUGGUGUUUACUAUCCUACAAGUCCUUUGAUGUUGCAUCAUAUUAUUGAGAUUGCUGGCCAUUUGCAUGGCCAAGAUUCUGAUCCAUUGCUCAGAAAUAUUGUUGUUCCCAUGAAGCUUAAGUUUCUCAAGUAUUGGCAGAACAUACCUCUGUUGUAUUCCUUUGCAUUCAUUUUGGAUCCUAGAGCCAAGGUGAGAGGUUUUCAUAAUGUUCUCCAACUUCUUUCUCAGACAGUUGGUGUUGAUUACUCUUCUUAUUUCACUGAGGUAAGAACUCAAUUACAUAAGUUGUUUAACAAGUAUGAAAACAAGUUUGGUGCAGUUCGAUCGCAAAGGCCCGCUCAACCUUCAGCUGCUACUGGUAAGAAAAGAACAGCAUGGGGUAAGAUCUUUGGUGGUCCUGGUACAUGUGGUUCUCCUGUUCUUUCAUCUACACCUCCUAUAUCUCCUGCUUCAGAGCUGUCAUCCUACCUGGAUAGUGAUACUAUUUCUUGCUAUGAUGAUGACUUCAACAUACUUAGUUGGUGGUAUGAGCACAAGCUAUCCUAUCCUAUUUUGUCCAUACUUGCUAAAGAUGUUAUGUCUGUUCCAGUUUCCACUGUUUCUUCGGAAUCUUGUUUCAGUCUAACUGGCAGGGUGAUUGAGGAGCGGCGCCGACGGUUGCUGCCUGAGACGGUGGAGAUGCUGACCUGCCUCAAGGAUUGGGAGUUGGGAGAUGCAAGGGCCCAACAUGAUGUUGAGAAGGAGGUCAAUGAACUGGAGGAAACUUACAAAAGCCCCUACCCAGACAUGGAUGAAGGCCAAGCUAGUCAGUAAGUGAUUGUCAUUACUCAUCUUGUUAAAUUCUUUGAAUUACAAAUACUAAUGAGCUAAUGCUGUUGCCUGUUGCCUGUUGGCCUGUUGCCCUGUUGUGCACUUAUGCUUGUGCACCUCCAGGCCUACCCCAGGACCAGGAGCAACCUGAAGCCUGUUGUAUGUUGGCUGUUGCCUGUUGCUGUUGGACUUGGAGACUUGGAGACUUGGAUACUUGACUUUGAAUGCCUGUUGCCUGUUGGAGCAUGGAGCUUGGCCAGUUGCCCAGUUGUUCAUUAGAUGUUAAUAUGUUUUGUGUCUAUCAGUCUCUGUGUGUGUCUCAAACUCUUUGUAAUGUUGAAUUGAAACAAUGAGCUGGCUGUACUCUUUUUCCCUUCCUAGGGUUUUCUCACAAGGGUGAGUUUUUACCUAGGAAGGUUUUUAAUGAGGCAGCCAACACUUGAUCACACAGAUCAAGUGUUAAACAGCUCUAAUAAUUCCAUGUGAUGAAUGUCUGUGAUUUUGUGAUUGUGUGUUGUGUCUGUGAUUCCAUGUUAACAGCUCAAAUGAAUUGUGAAUUGUGAUUGUGUCUGUGUCUGUGAUUCUGUGAUUGUGUGUUGUGGUGUCGAAUAUGGGCUGUGGGCUGGCCCGACCCGUAAAAAAAGACGAGCCCUUCGGGCCGGCCCAGCACGAAAAAGACCUCACGGACCCGUGUAUGGGCAGCCCCCACGGCCCGUGGGCUGGCCCGGCCCGGCACGAGGGUGUUAUCGUGACGGGCCAGGCCCGGCACGAAAACGAACGGGCCAUGCCGGGCCCGUGCCGGACCGGGCCGGGCGGCCCGAAUGGACAUCUAUACCCCGAACCCUAUCCGCACCGCGCCGCCGUCCCCAUCCCGCGGCACCGUCCGCAUCCCGUCGCGCCGCGGUCCCAUCCCGUCGCGCCGCGGCCCCUCCGGCCGUCGCCCCUGCAGUUGCCGCCCGUCCUCCGGCCCUGUAGUUGCCACCCGUCCUCCGCCCGAGUGUGCUCCGCCCCUGCUCGCGCCCCUGUCGUGCCGCCGCCCCUCCGCCCCUCGUCGGCUGGGCCCUGCUCGCGCCGGCGUUCGUUGGCCCCUCGUCGGCCGGCCCCUACUCGCGCCGCCGUCGCCCGGACCCUGCUCGUGGACGGCGCCCGUGGACGUCGCCCGAUCUGCAGCGGCUCCUGCCCGUGGACGUCGCCCGAUCUGCAGCAAGGUGAACAGAUAGAAAAUGCUUCGUGAUUGCUUCACGUCCUCCGUUCUGAGGUCUUAAUUUCUGAAGACCUGACCGCCCAUAUGUUUCGGAAAUUCAGGAUGUAGAAUUUCGACGCAAAGGAUGCAGAAAUUCCCUAUUAUACACGUAACAAAAUGACCCAUGGUGCUGUCCAGAUACAGCUGCUAACCUUUCUCUCAAACAUGUUAAACAGGCAGUAGCAGUCCACCUGUAUGUACUGGAACAGUUUUUUGAAGAUAGAGGCAUGACAAAUUCAGGAGCACGGAUUCAAUCAAAUAGGCACCGAUUCUGACAAAUUCCGAAGCAAAGAUUCUCAAUCAAACAGUCUAUGAAUAAUUAUGCAUGAAACAAAUACAAUCAGUAGUACAUAGGGGUAAUAGAGAUAUUGCACAUCUCUUCUAGCCACUCUCGUCCUCGAAGAAGCUGGGUUGCCAAACGGACUCUAGCUUUCAGAAAGCCCGCUUUUGGAAAGCCAGCAUUGCAGGAUAGAAAGCCAGAAGUUAGCUUUCGGAAAGCAAAAGUAGGGCAGGAAAUGGCCAUCGACACCGCCGCCGCCAGCGGCGGAGAGAAGAGGCAGAGAGUGGAUGAGCAAGGGGAUCGAUGCGGAUCUGUGGGUGCGGAUGCGAUCCCGGCGGACCGCAUCUCGGCCCUGCCGGACGAGCUGCAGCAGCGCAUCCUGACGCACCUCCCGCUCAAGGACGCCGUCCGCACGGGGGCGGUCGCGCGCGGGUGGCGCGACCUGUGGAAGGGUCGGUGGGCGCACCGCGCCUCCGUCGAGAUCCACCUCCGUUCCCGCGACGCUCCGCAGAGGGAGCUCGACGCGCGAGCCGCGCCCGCGCCGCCGCAUCGCCGCUUCUCCCUCAUCGUCGACACCUGCAAGUUCAAGUCCUCGCAGAUCCGGCGCUUCAUCGAGUACGCCGCCGAGUGCCGCGUCGAGGACCUCCACGUCGAGACGCGGAAGAUCACGGCCGCGGACAAGCUCAACUUUCACUUGCCGCUGGCGAGCCCGCUCCUCGCGCGCCUCUCCCUCCGCUGCAUCAGCAUCUCCAACAUGUACUACAAGGGCGCGCAGCCGUUCCACGCUCUUGAGGUCAUCCUGCUCCACUCCGUCUCCAUUGCCCAAGCGACCUUCAAAAGAAUGAUGGCGCUGUGCCCCAGCCUCCUCACCCUCGACCUGCGCGGCUGUGCUUGUGAGCCCCUUUUCUUCUGGGGCGAAGCCAUGGUCUGGCCGGCGAAGCUGAGGAGUAUCACUGUUGCCGCGUGUUCCGGGACCAUCAGGCUGGACUUGGUGCGCGUGCCUAGCCUGCGGUCCUUCCGCUUCAGCUGCGGCUUCCUCGACAUUCCCUUCUUCCUUGCAGGCGAGGCUGUGCUUUCCGACCUUUCAUUCUGUUUCUGUACUCAUCAGUGUCAAGAAGCCACAAUGCUCAAAAGUUCAAUAAAGGUCUCCCAAAUGAUCUGUCCGCCCUCACAGUUCUCACCAUCUGCAACAAUGCCCUCCCGGUACUUUCUCACUAUUGGAUUUUCGUACCACCUAGCUCAUAUAUUGUUUGAUUGCCACAUAAGAAAAAAGUACCAAGUUUCUUCACUAACAAAUGCCUUUCAGGUCGUGUCUUCCUCGUAUGAUGAUGGAGCAACUGCCCAGUUGCCCAAGCUGAGCAACCUGCACGGUUUGAGAGAGUUACAUCUACUCAUGUUAAAAAUGGAGGACGCCAACCUUGCUGACAUCUAUGUGUUUCUCAAGACCAUCCAAUGCCACAAUCUGGAGAGGCUUUUUGUGCAGGUUAACACCUGCCCUGCCUCGCUGAUUUUCUCUGAUCUGUAGUCACUCUCUCUUUUUUUUAUUUCAUCUACUUCUCGGUUCUUAUUUUAUCAAUAGCCUUCUGAAUGGUUGUGCUUCAACUGCAGCUCCCGGGAUUCGUGUAUGAGCCCAUGGAGGGUUCGCAAUCGCUUGGCGUUGUGCUGAGGUGCAGCUAGUGAGCUUUUUAUUGAGGAAAGCCAAGUCCCUGCAGAAAUUGUUAAUAGUUUCUCCAAAUGUCACUCCACGGGAUGUGCCCGGUGUACAAGAAGCAGAGUUGUUGUUUCUCAAAGAAGCUUUAGGGGGGCGUUUGGUUCCUUGCUUAUUUUUAAGCAAGUGUCACAUCAAUGUUUAGAUACUAAUUAGGAGUAUUAAACGUAGGCUAUUUACAAAACCCAUUACAUAAGUGGAGGCUAAACAGCGAGACGAACCUAUUAAGCCUAAUUAAUCCAUCAUUAACAAAUGUUUACUGUAGCAACACAUUGUCAAAUCAUGGACUAAUUAGGCUUAAUAGAUUCGUCUCGCCGUUUAGCCUCCACUUAUGUAAUGGAUUUUGUAAAUAGUCUACGUUUAAUACUCCUAAUUAGUAUCUAAACAUUGAUGUGACACUUGCUUAAAAAUAAGCAAAUGGAACCAAACCAGGCCUUAGCCAAUGGCAAAAUAAUUCUGAGUGAGUCUGACGAUGCUGCAACUCAGCCAUACCAUUCUGAGGUCUUUAUCAAGCUCUAGUUGUCAGUCACCAGUUGGGGUCAGAACCGAAUGGAUAGUAAUAUCCGCAUCAGCUUGUAAGGGCAUUAUCCUCUUGGAUGUAGCUUACUGACAAUAUAUAUGAAGACCGAUGUUGUCUCCUUAUUUUCUUCUCUUGAAUAUUACUACUAGCAAAGUAUUUAAAUGCAUGGUAUUCCAACACAUGCUUACUUACCUAUCCUGAUACCACUUGCAUGAUGCAUUACGAACCAGCUCCAUAUCACCUUUCACAAUUCAACAACGAGGUGAAUUAAUUUGUGUAUCUGAAAUAACGAUGAUGUAACAUGAUGUUGGUUAUCUUGUUUGUUUGUUAUGUUGAGGUAUCAUGUUGCAUCAAAGU
This 38923-nucleotide long non-coding RNA is filed under the name Setaria viridis. Its description in RNAcentral is "long non-coding RNA (SVIR_LNC005047)". The record is from RNAcentral. Lineage: Eukaryota; Viridiplantae; Streptophyta; Magnoliopsida; Poales; Poaceae.